This 240-nucleotide ribosomal RNA is filed under the name uncultured bacterium. RNAcentral's name for it is "partial 16S ribosomal RNA". It matches the Rfam family "Bacterial small subunit ribosomal RNA", at positions 94 to 334 of the family's 1533-position model. The record is from RNAcentral.
AGCGGCGGACGGGUGAGUAACGCGUGGGUAACCUGCCUCAUACAGGGGGAUAACAGUUGGAAACGGCUGCUAAUACCGCAUAAGCGCACAGUACCGCAUGGUACGGUGUGAAAAACUCCGGUGGUAUGAGAUGGACCCGCGUCUGAUUAGGCAGUUGGUGGGGUAACGGCCUACCAAGCCGACGAUCAGUAGCCGACCUGAGAGGGUGACCGGCCACAUUGGGACUGAGACACGGCCCAA